RNAcentral lists this ribosomal RNA (411 nucleotides) under uncultured bacterium. RNAcentral describes it as "bacterial SSU rRNA". It matches the Rfam family "Bacterial small subunit ribosomal RNA", at positions 370 to 772 of the family's 1533-position model. The record is from RNAcentral.
AAUGGGGGAAACCCUGACGCAGCAACGCCGCGUGGGUGAUGAAGGCCUUCGGGUCGUAAAGCCCUGUCGGGAGGGAAGAAAUGAUUGAGGGCUAAUACCUCCUGAUCUUGACGGUACCUCCGAGGGAAGCACCGGCUAACUCCGUGCCAGCAGCCGCGGUAAUACGGAGGGUGCAAGCGUUGUUCGGAAUUAUUGGGCGUAAAGCGCGUGUAGGCGGUUUGUUAAGUCUGAUGUGAAAGCCCUGGGCUCAACCUGGGAAGUGCAUUGGAGACUGGCAGACUUGAAUACGGGAGAGGGUAGUGGAAUUCCGAGUGUAGGAGUGAAAUCCGUAGAUAUUCGGAGGAACACCGGUGGCGAAGGCGGCUACCUGGACCGAUAUUGACGCUGAGACGCGAAAGCGUGGGUAGCAAA